UGGGGCGGGAGCCUGAAACCAGCCAAGUCGCGUGAGGGAAGACGGUCCUAUGGAUUGUAAACCUCUUUUGUCGGGGAGCAAAGAGGCCACGUGUGGUCAAAAGCGAGAGUACCAGAAAGAAAAAGCAUCGGCUAACUCCGUGCC
This 144-nucleotide ribosomal RNA is filed under the name uncultured bacterium. Its description in RNAcentral is "partial 16S ribosomal RNA". It matches the Rfam family "Bacterial small subunit ribosomal RNA", at positions 371 to 509 of the family's 1533-position model. The record is from RNAcentral.